UUCAACCCGUGAUAUUUUUUACGUCAACGCGGUGGCUCGAGCUGCUGGGGGCGCGGCGGUUGGAGCGGCGGAUCUGUGCACGGCAGGGGCUGGGAGGCGGAUCCGGUGGCGAGCGGCGAGGCAGGGGUCGCCGGUGACGAUGAGGAAGGCCGGAGUGCGGCUUCCCGGACGGAUCCAUGGCAGAAAAGAGACAGGGUGGUGAGGAAGAAAAGAUGGGAGAAAAGAGGGGCGGUGCGGCGACCCAGGCAUGCUCGCUGGAGCCGGGUGAUGGCAGACGGGCGCGGGAGACGGAAGGAUCCGGCAUGGCAGCGCGAAGUCCUUGUAGUUGGAGGCGGGCCUCCAUGGCCGCGGCGACCCCUCCCCUUCUCUCCGUGGCCACGGCAGCUCAGGCAGCGGUCAGAUCCGCCCUCCCCCCCUCAUUCCUCGCGCUGGAUAACCUAGCCGCCGGGCCAUGGUGACCGAGGGCGAUGAUGACGGUGGUGGCUACCUCGACGACGGCGGCACACACCCAACAUCGCCAUGGACCAGUAGCUCAAGCAUUCUUCUUCCUGAUGGUGAUGGGGUUCCCUCACCAUCUUCAGGUCGUCAUCCUUGAGGCCUCCACCAUCUGCAGGUCUUCCUUCUUUUCUUCCCUCUCUGUUGGAUUCCAUUGGAUUCUCUGCUCUGCAGGUGAAGCUCUAUCUAUUCUCUGCUGCAGUGUCUACAGUGGACUGUUUGCACCUUCUGUGCAAAUACCUGAUUGUAUAUGGAUUGAAUGGAUGGAUAGAUUGCAGGGUCUACAAUGCACCACCUUGAUUUGAUUCGGUCUGGAGCAGCAGCAUCAGCUCCUUCCUUCCUUCUCAACCAUCUGUAUUUACAUUACUACUGUAAGCUUCUGAAAUGUAAAUUAUGCUAGGACAAUUCAUCUUUAGCUUUAACUAUGACAUUCCUAAAUGCGCGAGUAAAUACUACUGGGAUUACGGCUAACAAAAAAAAUUCAUGACAUGCGAGCAAUUCUCGGUUUAAAUACUGCGAGCUUAAAUAACAGGAGCUAAACUGUUGUGCUAUGUUCAGAAUUGGUACUAGAAAAGAUAAUCUAAACUGCACAUUCUGAAAGUAUAUUGGGCUCUUGCCCUCGGGAAAUUAGUCUUCUAAGCAUUACUUCGUAAAUAAAUGACAUGAUAACUUGUUGGUUCAGUUUAAAGCUGUAGGCAGAGGCUUGCGGUAGGGGGAAAAUCACUGCCAGUUGAAAACCAAAACUUCUAUUUGUGAGUAUGAUCGGGACUGCGCUUUUCUGAAAGUAUGUUAGCCAAUGUUUGGAUAUCUUUCAAUUACUUCUGAACAAGAAAGAUGUAGUGCCAUGCUAAGUUUGGAUGUGGAGUUGCAAUUUAACCUGCUUUGCAGCUCCAUUUUGUCUUGCUACAGCAAUACCUUGCCUGAGUGGUUCAGGGGUCAGGAACUUACAUGGGCUUGCUCUUCUUUCAUGUAUUAGAUAUGGAGUCCACGCUGCUUAGAUUUUCUAAAAUUUAUCUUCAUUUCUACAACUUCAUUUUGCAAUACAAAUAUAAGAUCACUAUUAUUACGAGUGGUGAAAUUUUCUUGUCAAUGAACUUUACGGCUAUUUGGUCAUGUAUUUGACUGCUUAUAUUUUUUAUUUCCUAAUUGUGCACUUACUCUGCAUAAAAUUCAUUAGCACAUAUUUCCUUGCAAUUAUACUAAAUUUCUGUUUGCAUCCUUUUUCCAUUUUGGUGGAAUGUAGACAUUGCUUAAGAUGUAGUUUGAUAUUUUUCUAGGCGCAGGCCAUCAGGCUCUUCCAGUCCAGGGGCAACCAGGCCCGAGUCACCAUCAUCCUGAUGUUGCCACGAUGGGCGGCGGCAGCGGACAAACCAAUGCACCUUGCGGCGAUAUCUACGUUAGGGAGGGUGUUGUUGCCGUCCACCACGAUAACAACCUGUGUUGUGUCGAUUUUAGAUUCUUUGGUGACGAAUUGGACUACAUCCCACUGAAGGCCACUUAUCCUGCUCAUGAGCGAGGCUACUUAAAAACAAUCCUAGAAUUAUUUCUUCAAGAUAACUAUGCUUGGAUUCACAAAUGCAUGCAAUUGCCUUCAAAUGGAGGUUAGUUCUUUACUAAUUCUGUGCUAUUCCACUUUCAAGUUUUUGGUUCUAGAAGUGUAAUACUUGCUAGGUUAGCUGCAGAAGCGGGAUGUAUAUGGCCUGAAUUUAUAUUUCGAGUGUAUAAACUGAUUCAGAGUAUUCUGACAUCUGAAACAUUUUGUUGUAUGGUUCUGUCUUGAAAGAACUGAAGUAAUUCUUCUAUGGGAGAGAAUAUAAACGUGAUUCUGAAA
This is a long non-coding RNA of Triticum aestivum (bread wheat), 2326 nucleotides long. RefSeq lists it as uncharacterized. NCBI's taxonomy places the organism in Eukaryota, Viridiplantae, Streptophyta, Magnoliopsida, Poales, Poaceae. The transcript has 3 exons. The record is from RefSeq and is a predicted model, not a curated record.